UACGUAGGGUGCAAGCGUUAUUCGGAAUUAUUGGGCGUAAAGGGCGCGUAGGCGGCCUGGCAAGUGGAAGGUGAAAUCCCUCGGCUUAACCGAGGAACUGCCCUCCAAACUGCUUGGCUUGAGUCCGGGAGAGGUGAGUGGAAUUCCCAGUGUAGCGGUGAAAUGCGUAGAUAUUGGGAGGAACAUCUGUGGCGAAGGCGGCCAUCUGGACCAGCACUGACACUGAGGCACGAAAGCGUGGGGAGCAAACAGG
Molecule: ribosomal RNA, 253 nt
Filed under: uncultured bacterium
Lineage: Bacteria
Description: partial 16S ribosomal RNA
Rfam family: Bacterial small subunit ribosomal RNA
Source: RNAcentral